Molecule: long non-coding RNA, 1062 nt
Organism: Mytilus trossulus (common blue mussel)
Lineage: Eukaryota; Metazoa; Mollusca; Bivalvia; Mytilida; Mytilidae
Exons: 2
Source: RefSeq, a predicted model, not a curated record
UUUAAGAAUGCUCCAGUUAUUUAUUGGGAUCAACAUGUUUUUAAUGGCUAGACAACAUUCAUUAGCAUGAUUAGGAUGAAACAAAUAACUAUAGCUAUAGUCUGGGUGUUGAUUUUUAUUUGUAAACGUGUGGUUUUGCAAUGUUGCAUGUCCACCAAAUGUCCAGACAUUGUGCAAGAAAAUAUUUGAAGAAUAUACGAUGCUACUGGACAUUUCUGAAUGGCGUUGGCCUCGUCAGUGAACACAUUUUUCAAACUACAUACCCCAAAUUGAUGUCAUGAUUGCGGCCAAGUGUGGAUAAAUUUGGCCUAGUGCUUUCAGAGGAGAAGAUUUUUGUAAAAUUUUACAGACUACGACGGAUUAUAAACCACGACAGACGCCAAGUGAUGAGCCAUUUGGGCAAUGUAAGCUAAAAAUGGCUACAGAAGGGGUCAUAAACCUUACUGAUUUAAUGAAAAUGAUGAAUGCCUUCUGUGUGUUGUAUAAAAUUCAUUGGAUAUAAAAAGACAAAUUGAACCAGACAUAAGUGAUGAACAUUAAAUAGAGAAUCUUAGCAGACAACAUAAAACCACUUCAUAUAUUUCUGACAAAUCUAUUGGAAGAAAACUAAACAAUUUUGAAGAUAAAAAACACUUGUCAUCCAAAACAUGGCAGUAUCUGAAAGACCGACAUUCAUUAGCUGCCACAUUGCAGUGUUAGUUGUUUGCGAUUGAUGCCUUUCCAAUAAAUAGAGAUCCUUGGAUAUUUAAAGAUGAGUUGAAACUUAUACCUGUAAUGGACAAUAAAUAGAGAAUCUCAGCAAACAGCAUAAUACCACAUCUUAUGUUUUGACAAAAUAUUUGGAUGGAAACAAUAAUAAUUGGUGGAUGAAAAAGUAAUUUUCAUCCAAAGUAUGGCAGUUACUGAAAGAUAUAAUUUAAUCAUAAUGGAAAAUGACAAAGUGAAAUGUUUGACUUGCAUUUUAACCUUCUUCACGUACUGCAACAUUUGUGUUAGUUGUUCGUGAUGACUGUCUUUCCAGCAAAUGUUAAAACACAUUAUUUAAUAAACUAUCUAUAAUAA